This is a long non-coding RNA of Mauremys reevesii (Reeves's turtle), 853 nucleotides long. RefSeq lists it as uncharacterized. The record is from RefSeq and is a predicted model, not a curated record. The transcript has 3 exons. Lineage: Eukaryota; Metazoa; Chordata; Testudines; Geoemydidae.
GUGAGAAACACCAUUUCUGUACCAGUCAAGUGGAAAUGAAUGGAUCCUCUCCUACCUUCAGAUGGGAGAGGCGCAUCUGAACACUGAGGAUAUAAAAAACAUGAAAGAAAUGAAAUUCAUCCUGCAUGCCAGGAGAGAAAUACUGCACGAGCAACCUGACUGGCCAGCUGAUGACACAUCCCAAGAUACAUGAAGAGUUGAGGACCAUAGCAAACAGGGAUUCCUCUUUAUCAGGAGGUAAGGAAUAUACAGUACCUGCGUAUAGCAUCCCAGUGCAAAUCAAAGACUUUGGUUUUUCUUUCGGAGCCUAUGUUAUAUGUCAAGAGGGGAAUGCUGCCAACUAAUUGAGAACAAAGCAAUGUAUGCAGCCAGAGCUGCUGAGAUGUAAGAGAAGCAUCCUGUGAGUCUAUUCAUGGAAAAGGAGAGUAGCCACUUAUCCCCAGGAAGUGUUAAAUAACACAGCUGGUUGCAUCUCUCCAAACAGCCACACUCAGACCGUUCCCGGCACAGAGGUGAGCAUCUAAGGUUCCAUUUUGCCACCUAAAUUAAAUGAAAAAUGAUCAUUUCAGUGAAGAGCCCUCCAGACACCAAACAAAUCUGUCAGAUAUUGAUCGUUACAGCACAUCGCACUUCUCCAGAUGUCAGGAGAGCAGGGGGCUGUGCUUUUCAAGAAGCAGUUAUGGAAACUGAUCAUCCCCUUUCGUGAGGUGAGAAAUACACAUUCUCAGAGAGUUCAAGUGACAAUAAUGGGUCUGGUCAGCCUUUCAGGUGGAAGAAAUGCAGCUGAGCUGAUCUUCCCAGACAGGAAGGCUUGGAAGUUGCAAUCAUGAUAGCGAUCCAUUUUUGUUGACCA